CCGACUCAUCGGCUGGCUUAGCCUUGGUGCACCACAGCGCAACGCGCUCCCUCCGCCGGCCGGACCCAGCCAAGCGAGUCGUGCCGGCGGAUUUGGUUCUACUCGCGUUAAUCUGGAGCAAGGUCUCCUUUUUCAUCCACAGAUUGCUGCAGUAUUACAACACAUCCGAACCCACAAACCGACCCUUUUUAUCUAGAGCCCAGCGCCAUUAUAGACAGACCGAGCCCCU
This is a long non-coding RNA of Mauremys mutica (yellowpond turtle), 229 nucleotides long. RefSeq lists it as uncharacterized. The record is from RefSeq and is a predicted model, not a curated record. The transcript has 3 exons. Lineage: Eukaryota; Metazoa; Chordata; Testudines; Geoemydidae.